GAGGAAGUAAAAGUUGUAACAAGGUUUCCGUAGGUGAACCUGCGGAAGGAUCAUUACUAGAGCAAAGGAUAGGCAGCGCCUCACAGAAGCUUGUUUCGUGGCGGGCUACCGUAAUUCGGUAGGGUUUAGAGUCGUCGAACCUCUCGGAGAAGUUCGGUCCUGAACUCCGGCCUUCAAUAAACGACCUUCCACCUUUGGCGGGCCGCCUCGCGCCAGCGGCCUCGCAAGCUGAGGUCCGCCAGAGGACCACAACUUUUGUUUUCUGUGAUGUGUGUGUAGCAUAUAAUAGGUAAAACUUUCAACACCGGAUCUCAUGGUUCUGGCAUAGAUGAAGAAUGCAGUGAAAUGCGAUAAGUAACGUGAACUGCAGAAGUCAGUGAAUCAUCGAAUCUUUGAACGCACAAUGCUCCCUCUGGUAUUCCGGGGGGCAUGCCUGGUCGAGCGUCAUUAUAACCCCUCAAGCUCUCGCGUGGUAUUGGGGCUCGCGGUUGCGCGGCCCGUAAAAUCAGGGGCGCGGCCUGUCGGCUCUACGCCUAGUAUUACUCCUGGCGGUGGAGUCCGCUAGGUCUACAUCCCAGCAACGCGCAAUCUUACAGGUGAC
RNAcentral lists this ribosomal RNA (601 nucleotides) under uncultured Ascomycota. Its description in RNAcentral is "eukaryotic LSU rRNA". The stretch from base 294 to 447 matches the Rfam family "5.8S ribosomal RNA". The record is from RNAcentral. Lineage: Eukaryota; Fungi; Ascomycota.